Long non-coding RNA from Helianthus annuus (common sunflower), 907 nucleotides. RefSeq lists it as uncharacterized. The transcript is spliced from 3 exons. The record is from RefSeq and is a predicted model, not a curated record. NCBI's taxonomy places the organism in Eukaryota, Viridiplantae, Streptophyta, Magnoliopsida, Asterales, Asteraceae.
AAAACACACACACUGUGUGUGUAAUCCCCUGGACCAACACCUAGGAGAAACAUAACUCUUAUUCUUAAACCCUAAAUUCACCAAAUACUAUCAAAAUCAAAGAAGGAAACCGAUUUGAGAUCAAUUCCAAGUUAAAUUAGUGAUCACUAUACUUAGGAGAUCACAAGGUAAUUUGGGCGGAUCAUCGAGUAAUCAAGGCAGAACGGAUAACCGGUUAAAAGGAAAGCUUUAAAGGAAACUAAUGUGAAUAUGCGGAUGACAAUCAAGCUAUUAAGAGAACCGAACACGCACACGAGUGAAGCUUCCGCAAUUAAAUUUUGUCUUGUGUUACUAAACACUUUGAAGUUGUUUGCAAAAAAAAAAAAAAAAAAAAAAAAAAAACUUAUGUAGCACUUUAUAAACAUCUUUUGAAUGUUUAAACUGUUGUAAAUACAGUUUGUAUGGUUUGAACUUUAUGUUAAGCGUUACAUUGAAGUUUUUGAAAAAUCGGCAUUUUGAUAUAGAAAUUUACAAGAUAUUAUAUAAAAUAUUCAAUGUUUUAUAAAGGUAUUACAAUGCGUCCUUCAGAUGUCUCCGGCUAUCUUUCAGAUGUCUCAGGCAAAUCUCCAUAGUUUCCGCCGAGAAUUCAAACUUAAACAACUUCAAAAACAUCUAAUCUUUCUCAACAAUCUGACACCGUCUCCAGCGAACCUCCAUAGUUUCUAGCAUCAACAUCAACUCCAAAAAACCAAAUAUUCCUCAACAAUCCCCCAUCAACAUCACGCCUUCUGUUUUAAAAUCUUUCGGCGAAGAUCCAUACUUUCUGGCGAAUCUCAAAGUUUCCGGCGCUUUAUGCGUAAAAUUAUGUAAUUGGAUGUAGCCUAUUGGUGAAACUAAAAAUACGUGAUCAAUUUUGAAGAGCAAAAAA